Ochotona princeps (American pika) is the source of this 485-nucleotide long non-coding RNA. RefSeq lists it as uncharacterized. The transcript has 3 exons. The record is from RefSeq and is a predicted model, not a curated record. NCBI's taxonomy places the organism in Eukaryota, Metazoa, Chordata, Mammalia, Lagomorpha, Ochotonidae.
GCAUCUCAGACAGACAUGCGUGACAGUAUCCUCAUUGGAUAAAAGAAGUCCUUUAUUCCUUACAUGGAGGUAAAGAUUCUUGCAAGGUGCUGUGGAAGCAGUCCAAUGUGUGAUAACUGUGCCAUGCUGGUGUCAGUGGAAGAAUCAUCUGGAAAGCUGUAUUGGGUCAAGUCUUGUCUUGUGUGUCUAAAGGCAUUAAGGGCUGUGUUGGAUUGGAUUUUGGAACUCAUCUGUCAAAGGGGAACAUGCUGCUCAUUGGAGCUUCUGCUGGAGGACAGGGAUGGCUUUGCGUGGGAGCGCAGUUUAUAGAGGCUAAACUGAAUCUGACUCCUUGAAGGACUCUCAGAACUGGAUGCCAACACAAAAUGGGAGGAUCAUCAAUGGAACCAGCAUCUUGGGAGAAGAGACUGGCCAUACAUCAGUCAUUGAAAUGGCUUCAUCUUGGAUUUCUCAGCCUUGUAAACUAUGGAAGGUAAACCUCAGUU